CCUACGGGAGGCAGCAGUGAGGAAUAUUGGUCAAUGGGCGCGAGCCUGAACUAGCCAAGUCGCGUGAGGGAUGACGGCCCUACGGGUUGUAAACCUCUUUUGUCGGGGAGCAAAUUCCGUUACGUGUAACGGAGUCGAGAGUACCCGAAGAAAAAGCAUCGGCUAACUCCGUGCCAGCAGCCGCGGUAAU
Molecule: ribosomal RNA, 190 nt
Filed under: uncultured bacterium
Lineage: Bacteria
Description: partial 16S ribosomal RNA
Rfam family: Bacterial small subunit ribosomal RNA
Source: RNAcentral